AAUUCCUCCUUUUCUCUACAUUUACUCCUCAUUCUUGAGGGGUAUGAAGGGAUGAAGGUCCAUCUUCUAUAACUUCUUUAAGCUGAAUCCAGCACAACAGGAAGUGUUGGUGACUACACACACCCUACCUUGUUCUGCCAAGAGGUCAUCAAGAGCCGGAUGGUUAUAACGCACGAUAUUGGCUAGGGUAGACUCUGGAUGAAACAAGGUGACUCCAAGAGCAAAGCUUAGAAUACCUGAAUACCUGCAAGCAAGACAAGUAGAUUAAGUCCUGACAGAAAAGUAUACGCGGGCCCAAGGGGCAUAUUGUCCUGGAAUUAUGGCCAACAUUCUACAGGGCAACAGGUCAUUGAUUCUGAUCCUGCCAGCCUCCACCCAUCUUAUUGGUGGGCAUCAUCCCAGGGUGAACCUGUGAAAGAUAUUGCUUAGUACUGCUUGGAGCUAUUUUUAGCCUCUGUGGACAGCUCCAUAGGGAGAAUGAACUAUUCGUCAACGUCACCCAUAUUUUACUGAAGAUUUUGAAGGUAUUCCAAUGUGACUGACUACUACGUUUCCUCACAUGUGUGCUGCUGUAUCUGAGAUCACCAUGUUUUCAAUUAUCUCAUAUGAACCUGUUUCUGUUCAGAAAAAAUCCUUCCCUGGUGAUCCUAUUGUGGUAGACAUAAAACUGUGCCACCCAGAUCCCAUUCCAGGGAAGAAUAUGCUGCUGAGCUGUUGGAAGUACAAUCAGUGGAAAACCUUGGUCUGUCAGCAACUUCAAGGUUUGCCUCCUUUGCAGAAAUGGUCCAUUCAAAGUCAUGCCCUUCCUAUAGCAGUCUACAUUCAACCACUGAGUGAGGCAGAAAUAAAAAAGUGCUGAUAAUUUUCAACCUACAAGGGCAUUAAUGAGCAAUACCUGCUCCAGAGCUCCACAGUGGGUUCUCAGAAGAUGUGUCUUGCCUGCAGCACAGCUUGACUCCUUCCACUAUUCAUUUUUUCUUCUUUUCCUUUUACUUCAGAGGCAUUAAAAAUGAAUAAAAAUCUUGAA
This 1027-nucleotide long non-coding RNA is filed under the name Homo sapiens (human). RNAcentral's name for it is "HSALNT0328492". The record is from RNAcentral. Lineage: Eukaryota; Metazoa; Chordata; Mammalia; Primates; Hominidae.